Molecule: ribosomal RNA, 301 nt
Filed under: uncultured bacterium
Lineage: Bacteria
Description: partial 16S ribosomal RNA
Rfam family: Bacterial small subunit ribosomal RNA
Source: RNAcentral
CAGUAGCCACGGUAAUACAGAGGGUGCGAGCGUUAAUCGGAUUUACUGGGCGUAAAGCGUGCGUAGGCGGCUUUUUAAGUCGGAUGUGAAAUCCCUGAGCUUAACUUAGGAAUUGCAUUCGAUACUGGGAAGCUAGAGUAUGGGAGAGGAUGGUAGAAUUCCAGGUGUAGCGGUGAAAUGCGUAGAGAUCUGGAGGAAUACCGAUGGCGAAGGCAGCCAUCUGGCCUAAUACUGACUCUGAGGUACGAAAGCAUGGGGAGCAAACAGGAUUAGAGACCCCAGUAGUCCCUGUCUCUUAUAA